Non-coding RNA from Podarcis lilfordi (Lilford's wall lizard), 72 nucleotides. The record is from the annotation of a GenBank genome assembly. NCBI's taxonomy places the organism in Eukaryota, Metazoa, Chordata, Lepidosauria, Squamata, Lacertidae.
ACCACCAUGGUUCAGUGGUAGCGCAUCUCCCUUGCAUAAAGAAGGUCCCAGGUUCGAUCCAUGGUGUUUGCA